ACCACGUGUGCCGCCAACAUUAGCAUUCUGAUUUGUUCUGAUUCGCAUUCGCGCUCAUUCGCGCAUUUACACGCGAUACGCGUGCUAGAGGAUAAAGACUAUAUAAUAAAGAGUUUAUUAGAUAAAGUUGUUGGUUUUCACACGUCAUUAUUGUUUUUGAUAGAUAUUAGAUCACCAGAUGACUAUGAAUAAGUACCAAGGAGAUAUCGAGGCGGAAUUCGUGUUAACAAUUUAAAAGAAUUCUCACACUUAGAGGUUGAUGAUGACACCCUAUCAACAGAGGAAACUUUGAAAAUUACUGAUGAGUUCCACGUUCCAUCUACAGUUUAAAGAAUUAGUGGAUCCACGGAUUCCACGGAGACGACAACAGGAAACCAAGCAUCAUCGACGAUUCGAAUCAUCACCAGGUAUCGGGAAGUCAACAAGGAACCAACGCCGCAUCAUAGACUUAGCACCCAUGCGGAUCUUAAGUCUGUACCAAUCAGGGAUCGCAACCAAAUAUACAUAUGCAUGCAUAUAUAUGCGCGCGCGCGCGUAUAUACAUACAUUGAAUGAAUUGUAACAUGACAUAUCAUAAUAUUAAAUAAAAUUAGAGAUUGACCAAGCUUUCAUUAGUAAGAUGUAAUUAUAGAGAUUUAACUUAAUUCAUGUCUUGAAUUUUGUUCAUCCAGAUUAUACAUAAUUAAUAAAUUGGAUAAAUGUUCCUUAAAAAAGAA
Molecule: non-coding RNA, 716 nt
Organism: Megalopta genalis
Lineage: Eukaryota; Metazoa; Arthropoda; Insecta; Hymenoptera; Halictidae
Source: RefSeq, a predicted model, not a curated record